CUUUAAAGAAGUGGUGUAAUAGUGAAUUUAUGUUUGUUUCUGGCAACAGCCAGGGGCGAUAAUUACUAUUUGAAACUAUUUGACUAUGUGUAGAAAACAAUACUCGUGUAGUCUCCAUGACUGUAAACAACAUAUAUAUUACGAAUAUUUCUAACGAAGUAUCAUAGUUUGCCUAAAGCAGCUGAGACUGGAAAUACAGCUCACUAAGCAAGCUCUAAAGGCCACUCAGUUAUAUUAAAUAUGAGCGGAACGGAGUAUUAGAGUAAAGUGAGAGCUGAUGUCGCCGUUAUUAGCUAGCAAGCUACUAAACGUAAUAGAAUUUUAUAAUCGAAAUAAUCUCUGAAUACUACAUAGAUCUGGUCGUGAUCAAUCGGUCGUUAAGGUAUAACCUCGGUGAACGAUCCUAACCAAAUACUCUGCAAAGGACAGCUGAACAAUACGAAUCGAUUUAGAGUCUAGCCAACUUUCUUUCUCAAUCACCACUCAUUGGUCAAAAAGACUUCAAGUUGGCUUGCGAAUAUCUUUUUUUCACUAUGAUGUUCUGAAUACUAUACCAGCUAUCGGAUGUAAGUCGUUGAAGCCUUCAAGCUCGGUCAAAUAUCUUAAUUUCUCGUAUCUCUUUCACCUACCGGUUAAACUCAUUGAACUCUUUCUCUACCGGCUUUUUAACUCUUAUCUAAGCUCUCUUAAGACAUUUUAAUCCUUCGGCUCUCGAUUGUGAGUCCUUGAGACUCUGAAACUCGGUAAAAUAUUAAAAACGGAAUAAUUUUAUGAUUUGUUUUCAUUCUACAUAUGAUCACAGGAGUUCAAAACUCAAAAAA
Molecule: non-coding RNA, 821 nt
Organism: Bactrocera oleae (olive fruit fly)
Lineage: Eukaryota; Metazoa; Arthropoda; Insecta; Diptera; Tephritidae
Source: RefSeq, a predicted model, not a curated record